GGAGGGUGUAGCUCAGUGGUAGAGUGCAUGCUUAGCAUGCACGAGGUCCUGGGUUCAAUCCCCAGUAUCUCCA
This 73-nucleotide transfer RNA is filed under the name Vicugna pacos (alpaca). Its description in RNAcentral is "tRNA-Ala (AGC) (tRNA-Ala-AGC-667-1)". It matches the Rfam family "tRNA". Rfam says of the family: Transfer RNA (tRNA) molecules are approximately 80 nucleotides in length. Their secondary structure includes four short double-helical elements and three loops (D, anti-codon, and T loops). Lineage: Eukaryota; Metazoa; Chordata; Mammalia; Artiodactyla; Camelidae. The record is from RNAcentral.